GGCUCAGGAUGAACGCUGGCGGCGUGCCUAACACAUGCAAGUCGAACGAAGAGGUCCCUUCGGGGAUACUUCAGUGGCGGACGGGUGAGUAACACGUAGGUGACCUACCCCGAAGUGUGGAAUAACAGUCCGAAAGGAUUGCUAAUACCGCAUGUGGUCUGUGAGGUUAGAGUCUUGCAGACUAAAGCAGUAAUGUGCUUCGGGAGGGGCCUGCGCCCCAUCAGCUAGUUGGUAGGGUAAUGGCCUACCAAGGCUACAACGGGUAGGGGGCCUGAGAGGGUGACCCCCCACAUUGGCACUGACACACGGGCCAAACUCCUACGGGAGGCAGCAGUGAGGAAUAUUGCUCAAUGGGCGAAAGCCUGAAGCAGCAACGCCGCGUGCGCGAUGAAGGCCUUCGGGUCGUAAAGCGCUUUUGAGAGGGACGAGAUAGGACGGUACCUUUCGAAUAAGUCACGGCUAACUACGUGCCAGCAGCCGCGGUAAAACGUAGGUGGCAAGCGUUAUCCGGAUUCACUGGGCGUAAAGCGCGUGCAGGUGGCUUCGUAAGUUGGACGUUAAAUCUCCCGGCCUAACCGGGAGGGGUCGUUCAAUACUGCGGGGCUGGAGGGCAGAAGAGGGGGGUGGAAUUGCUGGUGUAGUGGUGAAAUGCGUAGAUAUCAGCAGGAACACCUGUGGCGAAAGCGGCCCCCUGGUCUGCUCCUGACACUCAGACGCGAAAGCUAGGGGAGUGAACGGGAUUAGAAACCCCGGUAAUCCUAGCCGUAAACGAUGGAUGCUAGGUGUGGGAGGUAUUGACCCCAUCCGUGCCGAAGCCAACGCGUUAAGCAUCCCGCCUGGGGACUACGGCCCGCAGGUUAAAACU
RNAcentral lists this ribosomal RNA (865 nucleotides) under uncultured bacterium. RNAcentral's name for it is "bacterial SSU rRNA". It matches the Rfam family "Bacterial small subunit ribosomal RNA", at positions 21 to 901 of the family's 1533-position model. The record is from RNAcentral.